UUUCUCCAGAUCUAUUUUUGUGCAUUUUAUUCAAAUUCACAGUAUUAUUCUGUUUAUAUCCCUAUUUUGUUAUGCCUCUGAAACAUUUUUCUUUUUUAAACAAUUUUUUUGAAAGAUUAUGCAAAGAUACGAUGAGAUUUGGGUUGAUAAACAAGAUUUCCAUUGGAGAGAGAGAACAACGACAGAUGAGAGAGUGAGAGAGACGACCCUCAAAGCAUCAGCGUCCGAAGAACGCAAUAGUACCAAUCUGGCCGCAUGGGGUGGACCCGCAGCAGAAGAUACGUUGCGGUCGGGUCACCAGACAGCGCAAAGACCCGGCCAUUUAGCUACAGUUUCCGUUGUUUGAACCUCCCCAAGCAUGGGCAGCUCCAGGCGACAGCCCUUCUGCAACUCCAGCGACCGGAACUUUCUCAGGAAAAAGAUAUCUGUAAUAUAUAUGAUCACACCAGGGAGCGGGAUUCUCCAUCAUUGUUAUGUUAUAUGGUGUGUAAUUUUUAUUUUUUUUCUUUCCUUUCUUUAUCUAUGUCCUGUUUUCAUUUUUAUGUUCACAGAAUUUUGUGGGACAAAUGGCUAUUGAAUUUGAUAUACCGUUCUGCACUAAUAAGGCUUCCAACGAUAAGCAGUCCCUCCGCCAACGUGCUCUUUCCCUCGACUCUUCCAUCCGUCAGUGCCGUUCCUUCUUUGAUUCCUCCUUUCCCAUAAGCUCUUCGAUCCCAAGCUAGCUGAUAAGUCCUGCAGCUCGAAGAAAAUUUACAUAGAGCUAUAAGUAUUAUGGUUGAUGGAGACGUCGCUGCUUUCUUCCAACCAAAGCUCAAGAUUUCUGCGGUUUUCUAAAAAUGUUACUGGGACCAAUGAAUGUCUGAGCCUCUCGCAAAGACCUUCAAUUGAAGUUUAAGGAGGAGUACAAUUGUUACGGGGUAGUCUCAUUCCUUCCCUCCUCUCUUAUAGUUGUUUAGUAUUUGAGCGUCUUGAAUCAUAUUAUCCCUUAACUUUUCUUUGGGUAUUUUUUAAUUGUAUAAAUUACUUUAUUCUUGCCUUUUGUAAUAGUUUAGUUCAUUGAAAGUAGUGUUGAUUUGUUACUCGAUGUUUCUUUGGUAUUGGUUUUUAUGAUUUUGCUUAGUAAGCUUUCUUUUUUAUUUCAAUUAGAUAUGGUGGAUAUAUAAAAUUUUAAAGUUAAUUAUCAUAUUAAAGGAACUAUGUUGAUAUGAAAUGUUUGCAGUAAUAUUCAGGUCCUUCGUUGAAGCAUCAAGAUACCUCAUCAAACAUGGAUUGUACAGAGUUAUUGAGUUAUUUGGCAUGAUGGUUGAUGUUAUUGUUGAUAAUAAAUUUGUUCUAUUGGUUCGAAGUUGAUAGAUUGUUUUGUAGGAUGGGAUUUCCUAGAAAAAUGGUUGUUAAAGCAAUUCAAGAAAAAGGUAAAGGUUCUUUCUUAUUCUGAUUUGAAUUAUCUAAACACAUGCGUGCAAGGCACAAGUUGAAAUCUUCAUUUGUAACACUGCUGUGCUGAAAUAAUUCUUCAGGAAAGGAAAAUACCGAUUUGAUACUUAAAACUUUUCUUAAUUGCUCGGUGUGAUUCAUAAUUUAUUUUUCCUGGAAAUCAAUUUCAAAUUGUUAAUUUUCUCGAGUUAGAAGCUUAUUGGAGUACUUUUCUCCAAUUGUUA
RNAcentral lists this unclassified non-coding RNA (1658 nucleotides) under Hevea brasiliensis (rubber tree). The record is from RNAcentral. Lineage: Eukaryota; Viridiplantae; Streptophyta; Magnoliopsida; Malpighiales; Euphorbiaceae.